RNAcentral lists this unclassified non-coding RNA (647 nucleotides) under uncultured bacterium. RNAcentral describes it as "partial contains 16S ribosomal RNA, 16S-23S ribosomal RNA intergenic spacer, and 23S ribosomal RNA". The stretch from base 517 to 647 matches the Rfam family "Bacterial large subunit ribosomal RNA", at positions 1 to 131 of the family's 2925-position model. The record is from RNAcentral.
UCUAUGAGAAAGGUUUUCCUCCCGCCCCCGCAAGGGACAGCGGAGAGGGAACAAACACAUUUAAAAAAGAUGUAAAAAGACUUCCCUGCCUCCUCUUCCUUUCCUUCCCAUUUUUUUAUCAACAAACCGGCGUCCGAAAAGGCAGCAGAAAAACCUCCUUGGGUGCUGGUUAUGUCUACCGGGGGCAUAGCUCAGCUGGCUAGAGCAUCGGCUUUGCAAGCCGAGGGUCUGGGGUUCGAAUCCCCAUGCCUCCAUUUCAUCUUGAUGGGGAUUCGAUCCGAGGGAACGCAUCCCGAAUGGAGAUGAAAGAGGCACAGGAUGUGCCUCGCCAGUGAGCGAGGCGGGUCGUAGGGAGCGAACAGGACGUUCGCGACUGAAGACCGAAUCCCCAUGCCUCCAUUUGUACACUAGAUAAUAUGAUCUUUGACAAGGAAGCGGCUUUGAGAGAAGAGCUGCCCUUUGGCGGAGCCGGGAGGUGUUGAAGCUGAAGGAAAGAGAAGGGGAAAGAGGUAAUAUGGUCAAGCAAAUAAGGGUCCAUGGAGGAUGCCUAGGAGCUACCAGACGACGAAGGCCGUGGUAAGCCGCGAAAAGCUGUGGGGAGGAGCACACAUCCUGAGACCCGCAGAUCGCCGAAUGGGGAAACCCGG